CACUCGGUCAUUCACUCCCUCGGUCCCUCCCAGUCUCCCACUCAACACAGAGCUUCAGCUUCUCCAGUCUCCAGUCUCCAGUCUCCAGUCUCCACUCUCCACCCAUAGUCACUCUCACUCACACCCGCAGUCACCGUCCUCACCCUUCACGAUCGCACUUCCGUCGACCUCACCCCUCAAGCUCGCACUUCGGAGUUCCGUCAUCACCCCUUACGCUCGCAGAGUCGCAGUCACCGUCGCUCUUCGGUCCUCCUGGGUUUUAGCCACCGCUGCUGCUCCGUCUAGCCGUCGUCGCUGCUGGUCUCGGUCCUGGGCUCCUGGGUCCUGUCCUCUCGCUCUCUGGCCUCUGGCUAUGCUCGUCGGUCCUCUCGCUCUCUGGGUCUCCUUGUCUGUCUUCAUCGCCGCUGCUCCUCGCCUCCUCUGUCCUGGUCUUCGGCUCAUCACCACUGUCAUAUCAGAUUUCUGAACAUAUGAAUUCUGAAACUGCGAGUAACCUUGUUACUGCUGGAGCUGGUUCUGAGGCUGCUCCGGUCAAGGUUGAUGAACCUAGUUCAAAAAGGGCCAGACCAGCAACAUCCAAUGUUUGGAAUCUUUUUAGAAAGCUCGGUCCAGAUAAGGAUGGAGUAGAACGUUCCGAGUGUAAAGGAUGCUAGAAGGUGUUUAAAGCUGGAGGUAAGCGAUAUGGCACUUCUACCCUAAAACGACAUCUUCUCUAAACGGAAGAAAGUUUGAAAUUCAAAGAACAACAACCUAGCCACCGCAGCCCCGCAUCAUUGUCAUCGCCGAACUCUUCUCCGCUGGGUACAAGCGUCGCGUGUGGAAGAUCCGUCGCCGUCGAAGGAGCUGUGUCGCCAUCGUGUGAAAGCUCUGUGGCCGUCAUCUGUUCGAGCUUUCUCUCUGUUUGAGCUCUCUCUCUCUCUGUGUUCGCCGGUGUUGUCGUCUCCUCUGUCAUUGCCGUCACUCCCCUUCCUCCUCGCCGCCGUGCUUUGGGAUAUUUAUGUGUGUUAUAAAAUGGCAGCCAUGACGGCGCCAGGGUGAUAUGCCGUUGCGGAUUUUGAGCUCUCCGCCGUAGCAAAGCUGUUUUGUGUCGGUAAUCACGGUGAUCUGCAACUGUCCCCGGUGGAAAUGGCGGGUUUAAGUUGCAAUUUUUUUGAAAUUUGGAAAUGACACUGUAGUUUUUAGCCCACGUCAUCUAAUUUGUAGUUGUAGACUGUAUCUAAAGUAGCAUUGCCAAGAGGAUGAUGCCAACUCCGAAAUCUGGAAUUCUGAUCAAUUUCUGGAUCGGUGAUGGUGGAUAAAAGGCCAAUAGACAGCUAACAAAAACCUUAUUCUUCGAUUGACAGUCCAAAAUAAAACUGGAUCGAGAGCCCACUCUAUUUUAAGGUCGGUGUCACUAAAUUGAAAUUAUUUUCAGUUAAGAAGGUUUCUCAUCAUGUUAACUAAUUAAAAAAAAUAAACAAUAAAAAAUACCUCGAAUAGACUCUCAAUUGAUUCAAACAUAAAUCUUUAACAUCCUUUAUGUAUAGAGUGCUUUUUUUAAAUGGAAAAUUUAAAACCUUACUACUAAUAUUUAGUAAGUCGUGACAUUGUUCUUUUUUAUUUAUGUCUUGUUCUUUUUUCAUCUCAAUUAGAAUCCCACGUAUCUGUCCAUUACAUAUUUGAAC
Arachis duranensis is the source of this 1664-nucleotide long non-coding RNA. RefSeq lists it as uncharacterized. Lineage: Eukaryota; Viridiplantae; Streptophyta; Magnoliopsida; Fabales; Fabaceae. The transcript is spliced from 3 exons. The record is from RefSeq and is a predicted model, not a curated record.